Molecule: non-coding RNA, 24 nt
Filed under: Arabidopsis thaliana (thale cress)
Lineage: Eukaryota; Viridiplantae; Streptophyta; Magnoliopsida; Brassicales; Brassicaceae
Source: RNAcentral
UGCCGCUAAAGAGAGGUUCCUGGC